Molecule: ribosomal RNA, 443 nt
Filed under: uncultured bacterium
Lineage: Bacteria
Description: partial 16S ribosomal RNA
Rfam family: Bacterial small subunit ribosomal RNA
Source: RNAcentral
CCUACGGGUGGCAGCAGUGGGGAAUAUUGGGCAAUGGGCGCAAGCCUGACCCAGCAACGCCGCGUGAAGGAAGAAGGCUUUCGGGUUGUAAACCUCUUUUUUCAGGGACGAAGCAAGUGACGGUACCUGAGCAAUAAGCCUCGGCUAACUACGUGCCAGCAGCCGCGGUAAUACGUAGGGGGCAAGCGUUAUCCGGAUUUACUGGGUGUAAAGGGCGCGUAGGCGGGAAGGUAAGUCAGGUGUGAAAAGCCGGGGCUCAACCAUGGGCCUGCAUUGGAAACUGUAGUUCUUGAGUACCGGAGAGGUAGGCGGAAUGCGUAGUGUAGCGGUGAAAUGCGUAGAUAUUAGGAGGAACACCAGUGGCGAAGGCAGCAUGCUGGACAGCAACUGACGCUGAGGCGCGAAAGCGUGGGGAGCGAACAGGAUUAGAUACCCGGGUAGUC